GCUGGCGUAGCUCAACUGGUAGAGCACCUGACUUGUAAUCAGGAGGUCGCGGGUUCGAGUCCCACCGCCAGCU
This 73-nucleotide transfer RNA is filed under the name Deltaproteobacteria bacterium. Its description in RNAcentral is "tRNA-Thr". It matches the Rfam family "tRNA". Rfam says of the family: Transfer RNA (tRNA) molecules are approximately 80 nucleotides in length. Their secondary structure includes four short double-helical elements and three loops (D, anti-codon, and T loops). Lineage: Bacteria; Pseudomonadati; Myxococcota; Myxococcia. RNAcentral also lists the same sequence under 4 other names. The record is from RNAcentral.